UCCCCAGUAACUCAGUCGGUAGAGUGGCAGACUGUUAAUCUGUAAGUCGCAAGUUCGAGCCUUGCCUGGGGAGCCA
RNAcentral lists this transfer RNA (76 nucleotides) under Bacteriophage sp. RNAcentral describes it as "tRNA-Asn". It matches the Rfam family "tRNA". Rfam says of the family: Transfer RNA (tRNA) molecules are approximately 80 nucleotides in length. Their secondary structure includes four short double-helical elements and three loops (D, anti-codon, and T loops). The record is from RNAcentral.